CUUUGCUUGCAUGCAUAUGCACUGGACUAAGAUUAAUACCUCGUAGUGGAUGUUUGGAAUAAGCACAAUGGGAGUGUGAAGAUGGAUGAUUACUUAGCAGAAGACGGUGGAGGUAUUGUGUUUCCGCAUAACCUGGUCGUCAUCCGCACACACAUCCAGAGUGAAAGUUGUUUUAAAGUCAAAUGGACUGUAAUAGGACUCCAGGACACCAGCAGCAGCAAGGAAUGUGUUCAACAAAAAAGAGACCACUGUAUUUCAGCCGGCUGCGUGCGGCUUCCGUCGGCAUGGACGCCGGCGAGGCAGCGAGGCGACAGAAGGGUGAUCUCCGAGGGCGCGGUUAUGUUCCGCCAAGCAGGACGGCCUCCUUUACGCCGAGAAAAUAAGGACAGUGAGGCGCUGGGCUCGGCUUAUGUAGAUUUGCAGACCUACUUUUGAACCUGCUGUAAAUGGCGGCUUCAUCUUUCCUUUCAGGGUUACAUUUCUGCAGUCCCUGUGGUACCUAUUAUAGGAUGCUAGGAGUCAUUAAUCACACCAGAGUACAUGUUUCAGUGCUGCGCUCAUGCCCUGUUUCCAAUACCCAUUCAUUAACAGUUUUCACUGUAUAUCUUUUCUUAGCAUAUUCCUCUAGCCCAGUUACACCUGUGUGCCCCGGACUUGCUGCUUUUGCUGACGGACUCAUUUCUCCUCUUACGAUUUCUGAGGAUUUUCUGGGUUUUCCUUCCAUGACCUGACGAUGACCUUGGACUGCGAUUUUGUGCUGACAUUUUGGAUUCAUCUGUCUGUCCCAAGGACUCCGACAAGCUCCAUUUAGUUUGCCUCUGCUUGUCCAUCUGAAAACACCCUCUUCCCCUCCACAUUUUCAUUUGAUUUUUUUUUCCUGUGCAAACCCUAUCUAAUCUGUAUUCCUGUUUAUUUAUCUUAUCCUCUGGCCUCGUUUGUUAAACCUGGAUUUGUUGGAAAUAAAG
Long non-coding RNA from Brienomyrus brachyistius, 965 nucleotides. RefSeq lists it as uncharacterized. The record is from RefSeq and is a predicted model, not a curated record. The transcript has 3 exons. Lineage: Eukaryota; Metazoa; Chordata; Actinopteri; Osteoglossiformes; Mormyridae.